RNAcentral lists this ribosomal RNA (359 nucleotides) under uncultured bacterium. Its description in RNAcentral is "bacterial SSU rRNA". It matches the Rfam family "Bacterial small subunit ribosomal RNA", at positions 8 to 334 of the family's 1533-position model. The record is from RNAcentral.
AGGGUUUGAUCAUGGCUCAGGACGAACGCUGGCGGCAUGCCUAACACAUGCAAGUCGAACGGAGUUUAAUUGACAGAAGCCUUCGGGCAGAAGACGAUUAAACUUAGUGGCGGACGGGUGAGUAACGCGUGGAUAACCUGCCUUAUAGAGGGGGACAACAGUUGGAAACGACUGCUAAUACCGCAUAAGGUCUCGAGACCGCAUGAUCUUGAGAAGAAAGAUGGCCUCUGAAAAGGCUAUCGCUAUAAGAUGGAUCCGCGUCUGAUUAGCUAGUUGGUGAGGUAACGGCUCACCAAGGCAACGAUCAGUAGCCGGCCUGAGAGGGUGAACGGCCACAUUGGGACUGAGACACGGCCCAA